RNAcentral lists this ribosomal RNA (492 nucleotides) under uncultured bacterium. RNAcentral's name for it is "partial 16S ribosomal RNA". It matches the Rfam family "Bacterial small subunit ribosomal RNA", at positions 29 to 507 of the family's 1533-position model. The record is from RNAcentral.
AGUGAACGCUGGCGGUAGGCCUAACACAUGCAAGUCGAACGUCAGCACAGUAAGAGCUUGCUCUUACGGGUGGCGAGUGGCGUACGGGUGAGGAAUACAUCUGCAUCUACUUUUUCGUGGGGGAUAACGUAGGGAAACUUACGCUAAUACCGCAUACGACCUACGGGUGAAAGCAGGGUAUCUUCGUACCUUGCGCGAUUGAAUGAGCCGAUGUCGGAUUAGCUAGUUGGCGGGGUAAAGGCCCACCAAGUCGACGAUCCGUAGCUGAUCUGAGAGGAUGAUGAGCAACAGUGGAACUGAGACACGGGCGAGAGACGUACGGGAGGUAGCAGUGGGGAAUAUUGAACAAUGGGGGAAAGCCUGAACCAGCCAUACCGCGUGGGUGAAGAAGGCCUUCGGGUUGUAAGGCCCGUUUGAUGGGAGAUAAAAGAAGCAGGUUAAUACGCAGCUGUUGUGACGGUACCAAAAGAAUAAGGACCGGCUAAAUUCGUG